CUGCUGGAUGGCUGUUGAUGGGGAUGCUCCUGAGGCUGAGGCGGCGGCGGCAGCAACGGCUGCUGCCUGCAGACGACGCUCGGCGGAUUACAUUUGCCAGCAUAACCAUGGCCAUAGCUAAAUCACCAAAGUUGCCAACGUCCUGCAAGAGACAGAGAGGGAAUCGGAUAGCCAGAGUGAGUGAGAGAGAUAGGUGUUUGCAAGUUCCCUGGCGGCUGAUGACUCCUUUCGUUGUUGACCGCCAGUGCAGUAAAGUGUGAAACUUUGCAUAAAUUUGUGCGACAAUGUUGCCGCGCAACAACAUCAACAUAUUUUCCUCGUGGUAAUUAGAAGGUUGGUGCAGUCCGCCACAUGUGCCACAUCCCGUUCGCAGGCUGUGGCACAUUUUAAAUGGUUUUUCUCACAGUCAAUGUUUGCGCGCAGAAUGUUAUUUAAGUUGUGGCGCUUUUUCAAUUUCAAUUAAAACGCCGCAUAGCCAUAUAUCCCAUACUAGCA
Drosophila pseudoobscura is the source of this 495-nucleotide long non-coding RNA. RefSeq lists it as uncharacterized. The record is from RefSeq and is a predicted model, not a curated record. NCBI's taxonomy places the organism in Eukaryota, Metazoa, Arthropoda, Insecta, Diptera, Drosophilidae. The transcript has 2 exons.